Molecule: long non-coding RNA, 519 nt
Organism: Pyrus x bretschneideri (Chinese white pear)
Lineage: Eukaryota; Viridiplantae; Streptophyta; Magnoliopsida; Rosales; Rosaceae
Exons: 4
Source: RefSeq, a predicted model, not a curated record
UAGUCUAAAGUAGGAGGGGGAAAGGUACUGUGCAAUUUUGCCUCAAUUUCACUUUAUUUACGAGUCUGCCACAGGCUAUCUCUGCCGAUGAUCUUGAUGCACACGCAUUGAUGAUCGCGGGAAGGGAAGAACGACGGUAAAGCCGGCCCUUUCCAUCUGCUUCUCAAACCCUCCUUGCCUCCUCCGUCUCGCAGACCCACGACACAGACGAUCUCGCCUCCAUCCUAUCCUCCUCUCGUCGCCGUCUCCCUUCUCUUGCUUUCGUCGUCUUACUCCUCCUUUCUCUGUCUCUGGAAUCCUCAGGUCAUCUUCCUCACAUAUAAGGCUUUGGCCCUCUCAAUUGAAACCAAAACGUGUUUUAGUUCUGAGGAAGAGCACGAAAAAGGAAGAACCAGUAUUAGAAGGUCUUCUCAAACAGUACUUCGAUGAUCCAUGAAGGAUUUGAUAAACCCACAAUUGAUAACAAUGUACGGCAGCACCAACGGUUUUGGACAAGGUACAAGGGAUACUCACCCCCUU